RNAcentral lists this ribosomal RNA (290 nucleotides) under uncultured bacterium. RNAcentral's name for it is "partial 16S ribosomal RNA". It matches the Rfam family "Bacterial small subunit ribosomal RNA", at positions 28 to 319 of the family's 1533-position model. The record is from RNAcentral.
GACGAACGCUGGCGGCGUGCUUAACACAUGCAAGUCGAGCGGUAAGGCCCUUUCGGGGGUACACGAGCGGCGAACGGGUGAGUAACACGUGGGUGACCUGCCCUUAGCUCUGGGAUAAGCCUGGGAAACUGGGUCUAAUACCGGAUAUGACUCCAUGACGCAUGUUGUGGGGUGGAAAGCCUUGUGCGGCUAGGGAUGGGCCCGCGGCCUAUCAGCUUGUUGGUGGGGUGAUGGCCUACCAAGGCGACGACGGGUAGCCGGCCUGAGAGGGCGACCGGCCACACUGGGAC